Molecule: non-coding RNA, 216 nt
Organism: Cinara cedri
Lineage: Eukaryota; Metazoa; Arthropoda; Insecta; Hemiptera; Aphididae
Source: the annotation of a GenBank genome assembly
GUUUUGUUGACAGAGCGGUACUGAAUGAAAUCGUUUAUUUCGUUAAUUAAUUUGUGUUUUUUUUCGUUUACAAGAUAAAUUUCAUGAUGACGUAAAAACAAUAUCGAUCAUUAUAAUAAUACGUAAUUUCGCAUUUUUCCUUAAAAGAUGCAGAAUUUCCUCCCGAUGGCACUUUUACAUUUAAAACACUUUCAGAAAUGCUCAACAGUUCACCCC